UGAGGAAUAUUGGACAAUGGGCGCAAGCCUGAUCCAGCCAUGCCGCGUGCAGGAUGAAGGCCUUCGGGUUGUAAACUGCUUUUGUACGGAGCGAAAAGGUCUGCCCUAAUACGGUGGGCUCAUGACGGUACCGUAAGAAUAAGCACCGGCUAACUACGUGCCAGCAGCCGCGGUAAUACGUAGGGUGCGAGCGUUAAUCGGAAUUACUGGGCGUAAAGCGUGCGCAGGCGGUUAUAUAAGACAGAUGUGAAAUCCCCGGGCUCAACCUGGGACCUGCAUUUGUGACUAUAUAGCUAGAGUACGGUAGAGGGGGAUGGAAUUCCGCGUGUAGCAGUGAAAUGCGUAGAUAUGCGGAGGAACACCGAUGGCGAAGGCAAUCCCCUGGGCCUGUACUGACGCUCAUGCACGAAAGCGUGGGGAGCAAACA
This 427-nucleotide ribosomal RNA is filed under the name uncultured bacterium. Its description in RNAcentral is "bacterial SSU rRNA". It matches the Rfam family "Bacterial small subunit ribosomal RNA", at positions 355 to 774 of the family's 1533-position model. The record is from RNAcentral.